AAUGAUAUAAGUAUGACAGAAAAAAUGAGCAAAAGGAAGAAGAAACAAAACAAGAUAAAAGAAAAGAGCAAGAUUAAGUAGAGGAAAAGAAAAUGUAGAAGAUAUUGCCAUUGAGAUUAUAUUUAUAGAUCAGGAAGAUAGUGUCAGUUUGAUAGAUGAAGGGGAUAGUGGUAGUUUGACUGUAGAUCAAGAAGAUAGUGUCAGUUUGAUUGUAGAUGAAGGGAAAAGUGGUAGUUUGGUUGUAGAUCAAGAAGAUA
Molecule: long non-coding RNA, 257 nt
Filed under: Paramuricea clavata
Lineage: Eukaryota; Metazoa; Cnidaria; Anthozoa; Malacalcyonacea; Plexauridae
Source: RNAcentral